GACGAACGCUGGCGGCGUGCUUAACACAUGCAAGUCGAGCGGUAAGGCCCUUUCGGGGGUACGACGAGCGGCGAACGGGUGAGUAACACGUGGGUGACCUGCCCUUAGCUCUGGGAUAAAGCCUGGGGAACGUGGGUCUAAUACCGGAUAUGACUCCAUGACGCAUGUUGUGGGGUGGAAAGCCUUGUGCGGCUAGGGAGU
RNAcentral lists this ribosomal RNA (201 nucleotides) under uncultured bacterium. RNAcentral's name for it is "partial 16S ribosomal RNA". It matches the Rfam family "Bacterial small subunit ribosomal RNA", at positions 28 to 227 of the family's 1533-position model. The record is from RNAcentral.